Molecule: ribosomal RNA, 292 nt
Filed under: uncultured bacterium
Lineage: Bacteria
Description: partial 16S ribosomal RNA
Rfam family: Bacterial small subunit ribosomal RNA
Source: RNAcentral
GUGCCAGCAGCCGCGGUAAUACGAAGGGUGCGAGCGUUAUUCGGAAUUAUUGGGCGUAAAGGGUGCGUAGGCGGCAUGCUAAGUCAACUGUUAAAGACCUCAGCCUAACUGGGGAUCAGCGGUAGAUACUGGCGUGCUAGAGGGUGGAAGAGAGAAGUGGAAUUCUUGGAGUAGCGGUAAAAUGCGUAGAUCUCAAGAGGAACACCAAUGGCGAAGGCAGCUUCUUGGUCCACAUCUGACGCUGAUGCACGAAAGCAUGGGGAGCAAACAGGAUUAGAUACCCUAGUAGUCC